GGACGGGGAUAAACCCGGGAAACUGGGUAUAAUACCCGAUAGGUCUCGAUUGCUGGAAUGCAUCGAGAUUUAAAGCUCCGGCGCCUAAGGAUGGGUCUGCGGCCUAUCAGGUAGUAGUGGGUGUAGCGUACCUACUAGCCUACGACGGGUACGGGUUGUGAGGGCAAGAGCCCGGAGAUGGAUUCUGAGACACGAAUCCAGGCCCUACGGGGUGCAGCAGGCGCGAAAACUUUACAAUGCUGGCAACAGCGAUAAGGGAACCUCGAGUGCCAGGUUACAAAUCUGGCUGUCGAGAUGCCUAAAAAGCAUUUCAUAGCAAGGGCCGGGCAAGACCGGUGCCAGCCGCCGCGGUAACACCGGUGGCUCGAGUGGUAACCGUUAUUAUUGGGUCUAAAGGGUCUGUAGCCGGCCGGAUAAGUCUCUUGAGAAAUCUGGCAGCUUAACUGUCAGGCUUUCAGGAGAUACUGUCUGGCUCGAGGCCGGGAGAGGUGAGAGGUACUUCAGGGGUAGGGGUGAAAUCUUGUAAUCCUUGAAGGACCACCAGUGGCGAAGGCGUCUCACCAGAACGGACCUGACGGCAAGGGACGAAAGCUAGGGGCACGAACCGGAUUAGAUACCCGGGUAGUCCUAGCCGUAAACGAUACUCGCUAGGUGUCGGCCACGGUGCGACCGUUGUCGGUGC
Molecule: ribosomal RNA, 682 nt
Filed under: uncultured archaeon
Lineage: Archaea
Description: bacterial SSU rRNA
Rfam family: Archaeal small subunit ribosomal RNA
Source: RNAcentral